UAAUAACAUCGAAACUCUUAUAUAAAUCACGGAGGAAUAGCUUUUUUCGAUUUAUUCAAAUUAUUUUUGGUAUUCUAUUCGUAUCGCCUUCACACUGGCGAUACCACUGCCUGCUGCUGGAUUGCCAGCCAAAAUAAUGUAGAUAAAUCGAAAAAAAAUAAUCGUUCGCUCUGAGCGAGAUUCGACCCCGGGAGUUUCGGAGUUCGAAUCUAGUGCCGUAUGUACUCCGUUAUCAGCAUAUUGUACUUACAUACUAACAAAAUUUAUAUGUAAAUUGUGAACCAAGAUUUAUAUAGAAGUUUUGUUGUUUCUAAACUAUAAGACAUCUAGUAGCGUAGUGGAUAGCGCAUCAGACUAGGACUCCGAAGGUCCCGGGAUCGAGUCUCCCUCGGAACGGCCGCUUUUUUUCAAUUUGUUAAAAUUAUUUUUGCCGUUCUGUUGCUGGCAAUACAGCAGCACGAUGUGCUGUUCUUUUGCUGGCAAUACAGCAGCACAACGUGCUGUUCUAUUGCCGUUUCGUUGCUGUUACAUUACCCACGCUUAUUCGGUUAAUACAACGGCACAGCGUGCUGUUCUGUUGUCGUUCUGUUGCUAUUACGAAUUGGCACGUCGUGUCGGCGUAUUGUGAUUCUUUUUACGGUAUUAAACGCAAUACCGUGCCGUCAUAAUAAAGCUUUAUGCGGCGGCAAAAGAUACCAUAUUUGUGUUUCAAAAUUCAAUUUCGUGCCGUGUUAUUGCUGUAAUUCUAGCGCAAAAUAUCUAUCUGGGUGGGAACAAGAUGCCGAGGUCGUGAUUUGGUUGGCCACAGACGCGCAGUUGAACGAAGAAAUAUAUUGGCCAAUGAACUAAAACAAUUUGACGAUUGACAAAUUUACUCAAUCGUUAAAGAGUUCUUCGAACACACUUUUUACAAUCAGAGAGUCAUAACUAUUGUGAAAUCCGAUCAACAGAUCGAAAGGGUCGUCGUUCGCAUGUUCGCUUGGCCAUCUUCGAGACCGUCGCGGGUUUACGCAAAAGAACGGCAUCGGAAAAGAAUCGGAAGAUUUUCAAGACUCUCCUCGUCAACGAGGAAUUCUAAAAAUGCCUGUAAAUUUUGUAAGCACUGCCGGAAUCAUUGGUCACUAGAAACAAUGAGAUCCAACGUUUGAUCGACAAAAUACUUGUAAACGCAAUCACAAGCCCAAACGACCGGAAAAUCUGGGAGACUAUGAGCUACGUCUAUCGAAUCAAAGAUACGCACGCUUGGUACAGAGAUGGUUCUCGAGAACGGUAGAGGCUUCAGAAGCGGGGGAGGAGAUUCCUCGAGAGAACGUGAAAUGUCACGGAGACAACAAAAGACAAGAGCGAAAGUCUUCCAAACUCGACCUAAGGAGUUACUAACGAAACAAGAUUGAUGUUCGGGAUCUUCAGCUUCUGCUAUAACGUCGCUAUAGAACCGGGGCAGUUGUUCUCCUCUGAAACAUCUAAAAUUGAUUGCGUCCUCUUUUUGCACCCAGCCACAAUCAUUCGGGUCGAAAUGACCAACAGGAUCUCUUUCGUAGGCAUUUCCUAGCGGAUUGUACGAUCAGAUUUUUUAUCGAAACGACUACAAAAACGACCGAAAUCGGUUGUUUUCGAUCGUUUUUGUACUUUUUUCGACCGUUUCCUGGUCGUACAAUCCGCUAGGGUUCUGCCAUAUUACUGUAGCACCGGCGGUGAUAUCCUGCCGUGUCACUGAUUUUAGCUGGCAGCACGGUAUCACAAUUUUAACUGGUAUUUUUGGCGGAUUAAUAACGUCUGUGCACAUUUUUCCAACGUUUUAUCAGUAAAUAAAAUUAUAUUACUCAA
RNAcentral lists this long non-coding RNA (1827 nucleotides) under Venturia canescens. Its description in RNAcentral is "uncharacterized LOC122411745, transcript variant X2". The record is from RNAcentral. Lineage: Eukaryota; Metazoa; Arthropoda; Insecta; Hymenoptera; Ichneumonidae.